ACCUUGAAAAUAGCUAGCAGGAUUUGGCAUUUGAUGCAAGAAUCUGGAUGAAACUAGAGGUGCAAUCUCAUCAAGUAUAAAGGAAAGCUUAAAUAGAGCUUCAAUCUCACUUAAGCACAUCUUUCAGCAUUCCCUGGUCUUUUUAAUGGACUAGAGAAUACUAAAGAGGAUGAACCCUAAUUUUCCACACUGAGCAAAUGAUUUGUUUACCUGAAUAAAUCAAAAAGUUUAAUUAAGAAUAUAAUUUAACAUAAUUGGUUUUGCGGGAUUAACUAAUAUAUGCUCACAGUGUAAAAUAUUUCAAAACUAUAAGAUCACUUAAAAGCCAAUAAUUGCUAAAAAUAUUAACUUCAUUAUAAAAAUAAGAUAGCUCAUAGCUGCAAACAAAUCCACGAAUUCCCUGAAUCAGAGGCUGUCAAGAUCAAAUAAUUUAAAAGAAAAAAAAUAGCAGAAAUGCAUUAAAGAUUCAAUUCUUUGAUUUAAGAAAAAAAAAAGGUGUUGUAUUAGCAUAAGUUUUGAACAAGUACUAUUGAAUCUUCAUUUAAUUGUCACUCUGAUUUACAUCCUGAAGAAAUGGAAAAUGGAUGAAGGCAUAAAAUCCAUAAAUAAAACUGCAGAAACAGACAGAAGAUUUUGAAGAGCAACAUAUACAGAACAAUUAACAAGCCUAUACGAAAACUCAGACAAAUUGUAAUAUGGUUACCUUCAAACUGAAGAAUUGCUCAACCCCAGCAGCAGCCUUCAAAAACAUUAAUGUUUACUUAUGUGUUAAUAUUUGUGAAAAUAUUU
This 789-nucleotide long non-coding RNA is filed under the name Nicotiana benthamiana. RNAcentral's name for it is "long non-coding RNA (NBEN_LNC030730)". Lineage: Eukaryota; Viridiplantae; Streptophyta; Magnoliopsida; Solanales; Solanaceae. The record is from RNAcentral.